GAUAGUAAAAGAGUUUCAAAGUAGGAUGUAUAUUUUAUGCCGACUCUAUUCCAAGACUAUUAAUAUUUUACUUAUCAUAUCAAUUUCUUAUAUUUUGACUAAAAAUUAUUUGGAUUUUUAUCAAUUCUAGGAUAAUGGGGGUGUAAGAUCUACACUUCCCUAUUUAGAUGUACAAGAAGCAUUUUUCAUAGUAAAAUAAAUGCAAAAUGCUAACU
Molecule: long non-coding RNA, 215 nt
Filed under: Ananas comosus (pineapple)
Lineage: Eukaryota; Viridiplantae; Streptophyta; Magnoliopsida; Poales; Bromeliaceae
Description: long non-coding RNA (ACOM_LNC027070)
Source: RNAcentral